AUACUUACCUGGCAGGGGAAACACCAUGGUCACGAAGCUGGUUUUCUCAGGGCAAGGUUUAUCCAUUGCACUGCAGAUAUGCUGAGUUAUUUGAUUUCCCCAAAUGUGGGAAACUUGACUACAUAAUUUGUGGUGGUGGGAGUGACUGCAUUCAUACUCUCCCCUG
This is a small nuclear RNA of Sorex fumeus (smoky shrew), 166 nucleotides long. RefSeq annotates it as U1 spliceosomal RNA. The transcript has a single exon. NCBI's taxonomy places the organism in Eukaryota, Metazoa, Chordata, Mammalia, Eulipotyphla, Soricidae. The record is from RefSeq and is a predicted model, not a curated record.